Molecule: ribosomal RNA, 465 nt
Filed under: uncultured bacterium
Lineage: Bacteria
Description: partial 16S ribosomal RNA
Rfam family: Bacterial small subunit ribosomal RNA
Source: RNAcentral
GACGAACGCUGGCGGCGUGCUUAACACAUGCAAGUCGAACGGAAAGGCCCUGCUUGCAGGGUACUCGAGUGGCGAACGGGUGAGUAACACGUGGGUGAUCUGCCCUGCACUUCGGGAUAAGCCUGGGAAACUGGGUCUAAUACCGGAUAGGAGCCAUUUUUAGUGUGAUGGUUGGAAAGUUUUUUCGGUGUAGGAUGAGCUCGCGGCCUAUCAGCUUGUUGGUGGGGUAAUGGCCUACCAAGGCGGCGACGGGUAGCCGGCCUGUGGGGGUGGACGGCCACACUGGGACUGAGAUGCGGCCCAGACUCCUACGGGAGGCAGAAGUGGGGAAUAUUGCACAAUGGGCGCCAGCCGGAUGCAGCGACGCCGCGUGGGGGAUGACGGCCUUCGGGUCGUAAACUCCUUUCGCUAGGGACGAAGCUUUUUGUGACGGUACCUAGAGAAGAAGCACCGGCUAACUACGUG